This 319-nucleotide ribosomal RNA is filed under the name uncultured Bacteroidota bacterium. RNAcentral's name for it is "bacterial SSU rRNA". It matches the Rfam family "Bacterial small subunit ribosomal RNA", at positions 28 to 351 of the family's 1533-position model. Lineage: Bacteria; Pseudomonadati; Bacteroidota. The record is from RNAcentral.
GAUGAACGCUAGCUGGAGGCUUAAUACAUGCAAGUCGAGCGGGAUUGGUAGCAAUACCAUGAGAGCGGCGCACGGGUGAGUAACGCGUACACGACCUACCUCUGACAGGGGGAUAGCCCUGGGAAACUGGGAUUAAUACCGCAUAUUAUUCUGAUUAAUAAAGGAUUGGAAUGAAAGUUCAGGCGGUCAGAGAUGGGUGUGCGUCUGAUUAGCUAGUUGGUAGGGUAAUGGCCUACCAAGGCGAUGAUCAGUAGGGGGCGUGAGAGCGUGGUCCCCCACACGGGUACUGAGACACGGACCCGACUCCUACGGGUGGCAG